AUGGAGGGCAUCAACUCCAUCAGGACUAGGAACCUGGUGUCAUUGUCUGCGCAACAGCUGAUAGACUGCGACAAGGGAAGUUUCGGCUGUCGUGGCGGCUACGUGUCAUCGGCCUUCAAGUACAUGAUCAAACACCGCGGCAUUGCCACAGCUACUAACCACCCAUAUGUUGCCCAUGAGCAUGACUACUGCUUGAUGCCGAAGCGGAAACAUGUCGUCACCAUCGAUGGCUUUAAAGAGGUGCCGCCAAAUGAUGAGAUGGCGUUGCUGCAGGCAGUGGCGGCCCAACCUGUCAUUGUGGCUGUCGACCCGAAGGCCUUCCAGCGCUAUGGAGGAGGUGUCUUUGUGGGUCCCUGUGGGACAAAUUGGACCCAUACAAUGACGGUGGUCGGCUAUGGCACCACCCAUGAUCAUGACCCCAAGAGACGCAUGCAAUACUGGAUCAUAAAGAAUUCGUGGGGGGCAAAAUGGGGUGAAAACGGCUACAUCCGCAUGGUGCGCGGAGCUGGUUCCUCCAAGUAG
RNAcentral lists this ribosomal RNA (522 nucleotides) under Triticum aestivum (bread wheat). RNAcentral describes it as "partial small subunit ribosomal RNA". Lineage: Eukaryota; Viridiplantae; Streptophyta; Magnoliopsida; Poales; Poaceae. The record is from RNAcentral.